This 2523-nucleotide long non-coding RNA is filed under the name Mus musculus (house mouse). Its description in RNAcentral is "long non-coding RNA chr16:24970492-24973015". Lineage: Eukaryota; Metazoa; Chordata; Mammalia; Rodentia; Muridae. The record is from RNAcentral.
AAAAAGUCCCUUCCUUUAAUGAAACUACAAUACUUUAUAGUAAUUAGAUAGAUAGAUAGAUAGAUAGAUAGAUAGAUAGAUAGAUAGAUAGAUAAGUGCUGUAGAAAAAUCAAUAAAAUGAAAUGGGGUAGAAAGAAAUAGUGUCGUCAGGUGGGUAAUGGAAGAGCUUUGUAAUCUGUACAUUGGAAGGCUAGACUGGCCCUUGCCGUAUGUAGUUCAUGGACUCAUGCGUCAAGAUGUAGAAGCUUGGCAUUUCCUGCAUAGGAACGAGAGUAGGCAGUAGGAUGCUAUCACACUACAGGGCCAUGAAGGCCUGGCGUAAGCUAAGUACAUGGUCACACCCGUGGUUCAGGAUCACAUUGAGCAUCCUUGUGGGUUAAAGGGGGUUACUUCAGUUUUCAGGCCCUUGUUAACUCUCUACAGGCAUCUCUCCCUUCAAAGGCUUUAAAGAUCUCAGGGCAGGAAGGCAGCUGCUCCUUAAUUUUCAUGCUCUAUCCACUUCGGUGUCUAGCUCUUGACACAUACACCCUAAUUUGAUUCCCGAUUCUAGUGAGUCACUUCAGAUGCCUUAUUUAGAGAAUAACAUAUUACAUGUGAAAAAAGAUUAUUGGUUGAGAGCACAGUCUGUGGGGACAGAUGAAUAGUUGCCCUGGCUGACUUGCUGAAUAUUAGCUCUUAAGGUUCACAUUUAUUCCUAAGGCCCAGCAUAUUUUCAAAUCCAAGUCAACCUUUGUUCACUUCCACAACCAGACCGCCAUUUUAUGUUCGACAUUUCUAUCAGGAGUUCACUUAGCCUGAAUUUUGAGCUUUUAAAUGGGAGUUUUGGUUAGGGCUGUACAGAGGGCAUGGACUUGUCUCAGUCAUUACACAGAUAAAAUGUUAGGGUCUAUCAGUGACCUUACUAGUUCUUUAAUGUAGAGGCAAGUUCUACUUGAAAUCAUAAAGCAGUCUUCCAAACAUAGAACUUGUGUGGUGUACUUCAGUAAAUACAUCUAGCCUACCAUGUGUUUUUAUAAAUAAAGUUCUACUGAAUUACAGGCCCCUUGCUCGUGUGUUCUCAGAGGCAGCCUUUUGUCAGUACCACAGAUCCCUACUAUCGGAGCCUUUAUUGAAAAGCUUGUCAUCACUCUUUGUGUAGUAGAAUAGAAUGCUGUAGGAGACAAGACAGCACGAAUCCUAAGACAUGGGUUUGCUGCCUGGGGCCUGGGUGAUCCUCUUUGACCCACUGUGUACAUCACUUUGAUGUCGCCGAUGCUGCUGCAAACCGCCCUCCCUACCGUGCUGUGGUCCACGCUAAAGCCACGCUGUCCUGCUAACCAGUUUUCUUUCUUUCCUCAGAAUACCCUGGAGCAGUGCAGUGUGUGUUCGAAGCCCAUCAUGGAGCGGAUCCUCCGUGCCACCGGGAAGGCCUACCACCCCCACUGCUUCACCUGCGUGAUGUGCCACCGUAGCCUGGACGGCAUCCCAUUUACUGUGGAUGCUUGCGGUCUCAUUCACUGCAUUGAGGACUUCCACAAGUAAGCAACCCCUCUGCCCUCUGACCUGCCGGUCCUCUUGACGUGGGCUCUUGCUGCCCACCACUGGCUGUGCUUCUUUCUGAGCUAUGUACUCUGGGGUUUAGGGAGAUGUUCCAAGAGUGAUCUCUGGCGCAUGGAUGGAUGUAGGAAGUCCCUGUUGUCCUCCCAUACUCUCUCUAUUCAGAGCUUCUCUACAGUUGAUCAAGACAUCCCUGUGAAGCUGUAGAUAUGGAGGAGUUGAUUCAGGGAGAUGAGAGGUGUGGCCAUUGGCACGUUGCACAACUCCCAGCUCUUCAAUUUAGUUAUUACACCAAAACUUGUCCUAACUGUGACAACCUCUCCAGGUUUGUCACUGUACAGUUAGGAGCUGCUGGUACACAGAUACAGAGACCAAUUCCAUCCCACAGUUCCAGUGUGAGAGGCAGUCGAAUGCUAUAGUCAACAUAUCCAUGUCCUCCCUCACCCUUCUCCCCAACCAAGGCCUUAUGUGCCUCCAUGUGUUUCCUGAUGACUUCAGUUGUGCCACAUUUUGAGAAGGAUCCUAAAAGCAUAUGACGUGUCUUCAUGUCUCUGAUUUCACAGCCCCUCUCUUCCAUCACAACUGCAGGGUUUAGGAAAAUGGCAGUUUUGCAUUUUUCUUCAUGUGCUUGUUAGCUGGCUAACCAGCUCAUCCUACCAGUGUGCAUGUUUAUUAUGGUCAAUGUGGGAAGCUUCAGGUACGGCCCGUGAGAGGUAGUACAGGCUCCCUUGCUGGGCAGAUGCUCUGUGAGUGGUUUGUAAGGCUCCCAAGGUUGAAGCACAUUGCUUACCACUUUGGGCUCCGCUCUGAGGCUCAAGACGGGCUGUGGGUUUCUUUCCCCACUGUUGAUUGUCAACGUCCAGAAGGUACUUUCCACAAGCAGUGUUGGGACCUGAGACUCAUAUUUUAAAAAUGAAUUUCCUGACCACUCUCCUAAGUAGCAGUGAAAGCAAAAACCUCACCAAAAGACGCGAGGUUGAAUGAACU